RNAcentral lists this ribosomal RNA (139 nucleotides) under Duganella lactea. RNAcentral describes it as "partial 23S ribosomal RNA". The stretch from base 1 to 119 matches the Rfam family "Bacterial large subunit ribosomal RNA", at positions 2811 to 2925 of the family's 2925-position model. The record is from RNAcentral. Lineage: Bacteria; Pseudomonadati; Pseudomonadota; Betaproteobacteria; Burkholderiales; Oxalobacteraceae.
UUCCCAGAGCCUUGAGCUCUUUGAAGGGUCGUUCGAGACCAGGACGUUGAUAGGUCAGGUGUGGAAGUGCAGUAAUGCAUUAAGCUAACUGAUACUAAUUGCCCGUACGGCUUGUCCCUAUAACCUUAGCAGGUUAUAU